GGGUUAGUAGGUUGGUCAUGCCUCUGGUAUGUACUGGUCUCACUGAUUCCUCCUUCCUUAUGAACCGUAAUGCCAUUAAUUUGGUGUUGCGGGAAAUUUGGACUGUUACUUUGAAAAAUUAGAGUGUUUAAAGCAAGCUAACGCUUGAAUACAUUAGCAUGGAAUAAUGAAAUAGGACGUUCGAUCUUAUUUUGUUUGGUUUCUUAGGAUUGACGUAAUGAUUAA
Molecule: ribosomal RNA, 225 nt
Filed under: uncultured Glomeromycotina
Lineage: Eukaryota; Fungi; Glomeromycota
Description: partial 16S ribosomal RNA
Rfam family: Eukaryotic small subunit ribosomal RNA (bases 40-225)
Source: RNAcentral